Molecule: ribosomal RNA, 393 nt
Filed under: uncultured bacterium
Lineage: Bacteria
Description: partial 16S ribosomal RNA
Rfam family: Bacterial small subunit ribosomal RNA
Source: RNAcentral
AUACGGAGGAUGCAAGCGUUAUCCGGAUUUAUUGGGUUUAAAGGGAGCGUAGGUGGGAUAUUAAGUCAGCUGUGAAAGUUUGGGGCUCAACCUUAAAAUUGCAGUUGAUACUGGUUUCCUUGAGUACGGUACAGGUGGGCGGAAUUCGUGGUGUAGCGGUGAAAUGCUUAGAUAUCACGAAGAACUCCGAUCGCGAAGGCAGCUCACCGGGCCGGAACUGACACUGAUGCUCGAAAGUGCGGGUAUCAAACAGGAUUAGAUACCCUGGUAGUCCGCACAGUAAACGAUGAAUACUCGCUGUUUGCGAUACACUGUAAGCGGCCAAGCGAAAGCGUUAAGUAUUCCACCUGGGGAGUACGCCGGCAACGGUGAAACUCAAAUGAAUUGACGGGG